GAUCCUGGCUCAGAUUGAACGCUGGCGGCAUGGCUAAAACAUGCAAGUCGAACGCGAACGGAGAGCUUGCUUUCCAAGUAGAGUGGCGAAAGGGCGAGGACAACGUUUCUAACGUACCCCAGAGUCAGGGAUAGCCCAGGGAAACUUGGAUUAAUACCUGAUGACCCCCGCAGAUCGUAUGUUCAGCGGGGCAAAGGCUUGUCGCCUCGGGAGCGGGGAACGCCCUAUCAGGUUGUUGGUGGGGUAAUGGCCUACCAAGCCUUAGACGGGUAGCGGGUGUGAGAGCAUGACCCGCCGCAUCGGAACUGAGACACUGUCCGGACUCCUACGGGAGGCUGCAGUAACGAAUAUUCCACAAUGGGCGAAAGCCUGAUGGAGCAAUGCCGCGUGUGGGAUGAAGCAUCUAGGUGUGUAAACCACUGUCAGGAGCUAGGAACACAAUGACCAGCUCCAAGGAAGGGCCGGCUAACUUCGUGCCAGCAGCCGCGGUAAUACGAAGGGCCCGAGCGUUGCGCGGAAUCACUGGGCUUAAAGCGUGCGCAGGCGGAUAUGCAAGUACCUUGUGAAAUCCCACGGCUCAACCGUGGAACUGCUUGGUAAACUGUGUAUCUUGAGAUCGGUAGGGGUUGCCGGAACGCUAGGUGUAGCGGUGAAAUGCGUAGAUAUCUAGGGAACGCCAAAGGUGAAGACAGGCCACUGGGCCGAUUCUGACGCUGAGGCACGAAAGCGUGGGUAGCGAACGGGAUUAGAUACCCCGGUAGUCCACGCCCUAAACGAUGUGUACUAGAUCGUGAAGACUCUGACGUCGGCACGGUCGAAGCAAAAGUUUUUAAGUGUACCGCCUGGGGAGUACGGUCGCAAGGCUAAAACUCAAAGGAAUUGACGGGGGCUCACACAAGCGGUGGAGCAUGUGGCUUAAUUCGAAACAACGCGAAGAACCUUAUCCUGGAUUUGACAUGCUAUGGAUUAGCUCUGUGAAAGCAGAGUGACGCCCUUUGGGUGGAACAUACACAGGUGCUGCAUGGCUGUCGUCAGCUCGUGCUGUGAAGUGUUGGGUUAAGUCCCUUAACGAGCGAAACCCUUAUCUUUAGUUGCCAGCGCGUAAUGGCGGGGACUGGACUCUAGAGAGACUGCCGGUGUUAAACCGGAGGAAGGCGGGGAUGACGUCAAGUCCUCAUGGCCUUUAUGUCCAGGGCUGCACACGUGCUACAAUGGGAACUACAAAGUGAAGCGAUACAGUAAUGUGGAGCAAAUCGCAUAAAAGUUUCCUCAGUUCGGAUUGUGGUCUGCAACUCGACCACAUGAAGUUGGAAUCGCUAGUAAUCGCGUAUCAGCUACGACGCGGUGAAUACGUUCCUGAGCCUUGUACACACCGCCCGUCAAGUCAUGGAAGCUGGAAGCACCCGAAGGAGUACUAAUUCAAGUAUUCCUACAGUGAGUUUGGUGACUGGGACUAAGUCGUAACAAGGUAGCCA
This 1475-nucleotide ribosomal RNA is filed under the name uncultured prokaryote. RNAcentral's name for it is "partial 16S ribosomal RNA". It matches the Rfam family "Bacterial small subunit ribosomal RNA". The record is from RNAcentral.